UACGGAGGGGGCUAGCGUUGUUCGGAAUUACUGGGCGUAAAGCGUACGUAGGCGGCUUUGUAAGUUAGAGGUGAAAGCCCGGGGCUCAACCCCGGAAUUGCCUUUAAGACUGCAUCGCUUGAAUCGUGGAGAGGUGAGUGGAAUUCCGAGUGUAGAGGUGAAAUUCGUAGAUAUUCGGAAGAACAUCAGUGGCGAAGGCGGCUCACUGGACACGUAUUGACGCUGAGGUACGAAAGCGUGGGGAGCAAACAGG
RNAcentral lists this ribosomal RNA (253 nucleotides) under uncultured bacterium. RNAcentral's name for it is "partial 16S ribosomal RNA". It matches the Rfam family "Bacterial small subunit ribosomal RNA", at positions 524 to 776 of the family's 1533-position model. The record is from RNAcentral.